UACGUAGGGACCAAGCGUUGUUCGGAUUUACUGGGCGUAAAGGGCGCGUAGGCGGCUUGUCAAGUCACUUGUGAAAUCUCUGGGCUUAACCCAGAACGGCCAAGUGAAACUGACUUGCUAGAGUGCAGAAGGGGCAAUCGGAAUUCUUGGUGUAGCGGUGAAAUGCGUAGAUAUCAAGAGGAACACCUGAGGUGAAGACGGGUUGCUGGGCUGACACUGACGCUGAGGCGCGAAAGCCAGGGGAGCAAACGGG
This 253-nucleotide ribosomal RNA is filed under the name uncultured bacterium. RNAcentral describes it as "partial 16S ribosomal RNA". It matches the Rfam family "Bacterial small subunit ribosomal RNA", at positions 524 to 776 of the family's 1533-position model. The record is from RNAcentral.